UAGCUAGUUGGUGGGGUAAGGGCCUACCAAGGCGACGAUCGGUAGCUGGUCUGAGAGGAUGGCCAGCCACACUGGAACUGAGACACGGUCCAGACUCCUACGGGAGGCAGCAGUGGGGAAUAUUGGACAAUGGGGGCAACCCUGAUCCAGCAAUGCCGCGUGUGUGAAGAAGGCCUGAGGGUUGUAAAGCACUUUCAGUGGGGAGGAGGAUAAUUAGGUUAAGAGCUAGAUUAUUGGACGUUACCCACAGAAGAAGCACCGGCUAACUCCGUGCCAGCAGCCGCGGUAAUACGGAGGGUGCGAGCGUUAAUCGGAAUUACUGGGCGUAAAGGGUGCGUAGGUGGUUGAAUAAGUUAUCUGUAAAAUCCCUGGGCUUAACCUGGGCAGGUCAGAUAAUACUGUUUAACUCGAGUAUGGGAGAGGGUAGUGGAAUUUCCGGUGUAGCGGUGAAAUGCGUAGAGAUCGGAAGGAACACCAGUGGCGAAGGCGGCUACCUGGCCUAAUACUGACACUGAGGCACGAAAGCGUGGGGAGCAAACAGGAUUAGAUACCCUGGUAGUCCACGCUGUAAACGAUGUCAACUAGCUGUUGGUUAUAUGAAAAUAAUUAGUGGCGC
RNAcentral lists this ribosomal RNA (616 nucleotides) under uncultured Legionella sp. RNAcentral's name for it is "bacterial SSU rRNA". It matches the Rfam family "Bacterial small subunit ribosomal RNA", at positions 242 to 849 of the family's 1533-position model. The record is from RNAcentral. Lineage: Bacteria; Pseudomonadati; Pseudomonadota; Gammaproteobacteria; Legionellales; Legionellaceae.